RNAcentral lists this ribosomal RNA (373 nucleotides) under uncultured bacterium. RNAcentral describes it as "bacterial SSU rRNA". It matches the Rfam family "Bacterial small subunit ribosomal RNA", at positions 527 to 898 of the family's 1533-position model. The record is from RNAcentral.
GUAGGGGGCAAGCGUUGUCCGGAUUUAUUGGGCGUAAAGAGCGUGUAGGCGGCCAGACAGGUCCGUUGUGAAAACUAGAGGCUCAACCUCUAGACGUCGAUGGAAACCGUCUGGCUAGAGUCCGGAAGAGGAGAGUGGAAUUCCUGGUGUAGCGGUGAAAUGCGCAGAUAUCAGGAAGAACACCCGUGGCUAAGGCGGCUCUCUAGUACGGUACUGACGCUGAGACGCGAAAGCGUGGGGAGCGAACAGGAUUAGAUACCCUGGUAGUCCACGCCGUAAACGAUGGGUGCUAGGUGUGGGGGGUGUCGACUCCCUCCGUGCCGAAGCUAACGCAUUAAGCACCCCGCCUGGGGAGUACGGCCGCAAGGCUAAA